Molecule: ribosomal RNA, 385 nt
Filed under: uncultured bacterium
Lineage: Bacteria
Description: bacterial SSU rRNA
Rfam family: Bacterial small subunit ribosomal RNA
Source: RNAcentral
GCCUAACACAUGCAAGUCGAGCGGGGUAGCAAUACCCAGCGGCAGACGGGUGAGUAACAGGUAGUCAACCUUCCCGACAGUGGGGGAUAACUAGCCGAAAGGUUAGCUAAUACCGCAUCCGAUCUAUGAGAGGCAUCUCUUUUAGAUGAAAGGAGCAAUCCGCUUUCGGACGGGACUGCGUCCCAUUAGCUAGAUGGUGGGGUAAUGGCCUACCAUGGCGGCGAUGGGUAGCUGGUUUAAGAGAGCGACCAGCCACACUGGGACUGAGAAACGGCCCAGACUCCUACGGGAGGCAGCAGUGAGGAAUUUUCCGCAAUGGGCGAAAGCCUGACGGAGCGACGCCGCGUGUGGGAAGAAGGCCUUCGGGUCGUAAAAAAACUGUCGA